UGCUAAUCCUGACAAAAAGCCAGAAAACAAUGUAAGAAGAAACACCAACAAUUAAUAAUUUCAGGAGAUCACAACAGAACUAUGUAUUACACUGGGUAAUCAAGAGUGUGCAGUCAGAAUACUCAGCACUCUUCUUUCUAAAGACGAAAUGAAAUCCUGGAAGAUGUCUUUGGGCUGUUGUCACUUUGUCCAACAGCGUCCUGGAAGAACUGCUACUUUGCAUCACCACAAUUUAAAACAUUCCAGCCACAGAGUUCCAGCACAGCAUAUCCUUUACAGAUAUGAGGAGCUAACUACAACAUUUGAUAUAAAUUCACAGUCUUCCGGGUGCAGUUGGCUAUCACUAGGUGGCUAAAAUUAUGUCUGCUAGAUGGCGCGAGUGUCUUCGUUACUCAAGACGAAAUUCCGCCAUUUCUUAAAACACUGAUUGGAAACCACAUGUUGAAAACGUAUCGUUGGAUUGGAUACUUAAUACGGCGUACUUUUCUUUCUUGACAUUUUUAUUCGUAAUAAUGGUAUUUAUCUGGUAACAGCCUAUAAUUUCUACAUGGCAAUUUCAUCUGAUCAUGUGGCCUGAGCACCUGAACAUUUUGCCAAAAUGUUGUCUCUUUUUUCCUGUACCAGCUUCACGUUUGUCAGAAAACCUUCAGAACAAUUCGGGAUUAACACCCUGGUGGAGUUUGAGCUUCUUUGUUGCUGCCCAACUUACACGUGGAUUUGACGCAGCCAGCUGAGGGCUUUAACUCUUGUUAAGCGUUUGUAUUCGCGUAGUUGCUGUCCGAUGUGGCACGUUGUUGCAGCCUAUGAUGGUGAAAGAUCUUUCUACAUCAAGUUCAAUUGGCCGUUCCUUGGUGCUGAUGGGUUACCGAAGUUGCAUCAUAUUUUGUUAAAUUGUCAACGUGACUAUUGCAGUUUACGUUUAUAAGUUCAGAAGCAACAAAAACAAAUAUUGGAUGUUUAUGUCAACAAAUAAUAAACAUGUUUCCGACUUUCCGGGAUUGGGAAAGGAAAGUAGAGGAUGUUGAAGUGGGAGGGAGGAUAUUUCAAGUUUGGAUAAAAAUUCAUUUAAUCUAUAACCCUACAAACGUAGCCCUACCAAUUAAUCUCCAAACCCCACAAACAUAUACCUUCCAAUCCUUCAAACUCCGAAAACAUACACCUACUAACCCCUAUAAACCAAUAUUAAACCUUAACCAUGUAAUAUUUGUAAUGAAUAAAAAUAUAAUAUAUCAA
RNAcentral lists this long non-coding RNA (1233 nucleotides) under Daphnia pulicaria. Its description in RNAcentral is "uncharacterized LOC124314899, transcript variant X2". Lineage: Eukaryota; Metazoa; Arthropoda; Branchiopoda; Diplostraca; Daphniidae. The record is from RNAcentral.